GCACCCUUUCACAAAAUAUAGAAAAAGAACUCAUACAAAGUAAAGUAUUCGACCUUAAGCAUUAAAUGUCAAAAAGAUUACAUCUUAUUUGCAAGGGAAAAAAGUGUAUUGUAAGCAUGAUUAUUUCCAGUCCCCUUGAACUUAUUCAUCACCUCUAAGCGUAAACGCAACGAAAGGUUCUGCAUGCUCAUCAGAUUCAAGCCAAUGGAUAAAAUUCUAUUUGGCUAACUUUUGAUGCCACCAUUCAAAUUUUCCCUCACCACUCUUACUACAGGUGACGAGUCGGGGGCUCACCUCAAUUCGUCAAUCGACUUGAUCACCAAAUCUGCAUUGUUCUUGGACUUCAUAAUUAGCUCAGCAUUGGGCCUGUCAUUGUAAUCUAUCCUCCAUUUAGCAACAUCAGGGGACUUUCCUGUAGAUAUAUGUCUCUUCAGGACACGUUGCAUUGCUUUCUCAAGAUCAACAUCGACGAACCAUUUCUCAUCAAACAUGGAGGAUACCUCCUUCCAAGCACCAUCUCUAAGAAGCAGAUAAUUACCUUCAACUAUCACUAUUUUGUGUUGAAGGUUCACAAAGAUAUCAUCUUCUACAGGAUCUCCUACACCAUGGUCAAAAGACGGACAGUACACUGAUCCCUGAUCUUUAAGAGUCUUGAGGCAUUCUAGCAGUAAAUUGGGGUCAAACGUCCAUGGAGCGCCCCUUCUUGCGUGUGCUUCCUUUGGAUCCUCCAUUGCAUCAAGCUGAUGACGAUAAAGGUGGAAUCCAUCCAUUGGAAGAACAAUAGCAACUUCUGGAGGCUCAACUUGAGAAUCAAAGGAACGAGACUUUUGGGGCCAUAACUUAUUGACUCUCUUAACUACUUCAGAUGCAACAGUGCUCUUUCCAGCACCGGGAGGGCCAGCAAGACCAACAAUAUGCUUGAAAUUAGGGCUUGAUGCUGCUGCUGCAGUUGGAACAAGGUGUUCAGCCAAAGCAUCAUAUAUGUCAUCCAUGCACCCAGCUUCUAUGACAGGAAUCUCUCUCUCUCGGCUACAUGAAACCUGCAACAGACUCCAUUUCCGAGUACGAAAACCAGCUUGACAGAGUGAAGUUCCAGUUGCAUUCUUCGUGGACAAAGGAGACGCAUAACACUUAAUCCACACAGGAAAGUCUUCUCUUUUGCUCAACAAUGUCUCUGAAAAUGGAUAUCGGAG
RNAcentral lists this unclassified non-coding RNA (1193 nucleotides) under Hevea brasiliensis (rubber tree). The record is from RNAcentral. Lineage: Eukaryota; Viridiplantae; Streptophyta; Magnoliopsida; Malpighiales; Euphorbiaceae.